This 466-nucleotide ribosomal RNA is filed under the name uncultured bacterium. RNAcentral's name for it is "bacterial SSU rRNA". It matches the Rfam family "Bacterial small subunit ribosomal RNA", at positions 917 to 1382 of the family's 1533-position model. The record is from RNAcentral.
GGGCCCGCACAAGCGGUGGAGCAUGUGGUUUAAUUCGAUGCAACGCGAAGAACCUUACCUACUCUUGACAUCCAGAGAAUUCGCUAGAGAUAGCUUAGUGCCUUCGGGAACUCUGAGACAGGUGCUGCAUGGCUGUCGUCAGCUCGUGUUGUGAAAUGUUGGGUUAAGUCCCGUAACGAGCGCAACCCCUAUCCUUAUUUGCCAGCGAGUAAUGUCGGGAACUCUAAGGAGACUGCCGGUGACAAACCGGAGGAAGGUGGGGAUGACGUCAAGUCAUCAUGGCCCUUACGAGUAGGGCUACACACGUGCUACAAUGGUCGGUACAACUGGUUGCUAACCCGCGAGGGGGCGCUAAUCCACUAAAGCCGAUCGUAGUCCGGAUCGCAGUCUGCAACUCGACUGCGUGAAGUCGGAAUCGCUAGUAAUCGCGGAUCAGAAUGCCGCGGUGAAUACGUUCCCGGGCCUU